CGCAUUCACUACUGUAAGUUGCUCUAGAUAAGAGUGUCUGCUAAAUGACUAAAA
Molecule: non-coding RNA, 54 nt
Organism: Salmo salar (Atlantic salmon)
Lineage: Eukaryota; Metazoa; Chordata; Actinopteri; Salmoniformes; Salmonidae
Source: Rfam